UUAUAAAUAAAUAUUAAUUGAUAAAAAAUUAAAUGAAAUCAUUAAAUUUAAAUAAUUUGGCGGUAUUUUAAAUAGUUAGAGGAAUUUGUUAGUUAAAUGAUACCCCACGAAUGGAGUGUCCUAAUGUAGUUUUUAUGUAUUGUUGUAUAAAAAUUAUUUUAUAAAAAUUAUAAUUAAAAUAUUAGAUUUAAUUUGAAUUCAAAUCAAAAUGUAGAAUUGUUAGGAUUAAAUGAAUUACAGUUUAAUUUAAUAGUGGAAUUAUUUUUUAAAUAAGAUAAUAAAAGAGAAUUUAAAAGUAAGUUUAAAAAAAUAUUUAAAUUGAAAAUUUAAUUAAAAUAUG
RNAcentral lists this ribosomal RNA (340 nucleotides) under Pheidole sicaria. RNAcentral's name for it is "partial 12S ribosomal RNA". The record is from RNAcentral. Lineage: Eukaryota; Metazoa; Arthropoda; Insecta; Hymenoptera; Formicidae.